AGAGUUUGAUCCUGGCUCAGAUUGAACGCUGGCGGCAUGCUUAAUACAUGCAAGUCGAACGGUAACAGGUCUUUCGGGAUGCUGACGAGUGGCGGACGGGUGAGUAAUACAUAGGAAUCUACCUAGUAGUGGGGGACAACCUGGGGAAACUCAGGCUAAUACCGCAUAAUUCCUAAUGGGGAAAGAGGGCAUCUGCUUGCAAGCUCUCGCUAUUAGAUGAGCCUAUGUCGGAUUAGCUUGUUGGUGAGGUAAUGGCUCACCAAGGCGACGAUCUGUAGCUGGUCUGAGAGGGCGAUCAGCCACACUGGGACUGAGACACGGCCCAGACUCCUACGGGAGGCAGCAGUAGGGAAUUUUGGACAAUGGGCGAAAGCCUGAUCCAGCAAUGCCGCGUGUGUGAAGAAGGCCUGCGGGUUGUAAAGCACUUUCAGUUGGGAAGAAAAGUUUUAGAUUAAUACUCUAAAAUUUUGACGUUACCAAGAGAAGAAGCACCGGCUAACUCUGUGCCAGCAGCCGCGGUAAU
Molecule: ribosomal RNA, 523 nt
Filed under: uncultured Gammaproteobacteria bacterium
Lineage: Bacteria; Pseudomonadati; Pseudomonadota; Gammaproteobacteria
Description: bacterial SSU rRNA
Rfam family: Bacterial small subunit ribosomal RNA
Source: RNAcentral